This 625-nucleotide ribosomal RNA is filed under the name uncultured bacterium. RNAcentral describes it as "bacterial SSU rRNA". It matches the Rfam family "Bacterial small subunit ribosomal RNA", at positions 184 to 808 of the family's 1533-position model. The record is from RNAcentral.
GAUGGCAUCAUCUUCCGGUUAAAUAUUCAUAGGAUAUGGAUGGGCUCGCGUGACAUUAGCUAGUUGGUGGGGUAACGGCCCACCAAGGCGACGAUGUCUAGGGGCUCUGAGAGGAGAAUCCCCCACACUGGUACUGAGACACGGACCAGACUCCUACGGGAGGCAGCAGUAAGGAAUAUUGGUCAAUGGGGGCAACCCUGAACCAGCCAUGCCGCGUGCAGGACGACUGCCCUAUGGGUUGUAAACUGCUUUUGUUAGGGAAUAAACCCCACUACGUGUAGUGGGCUGAAUGUACCUAAGGAAUAAGGAUCGGCUAACUCCGUGCCAGCAGCCGCGGUAAUACGGAGGAUCCGAGCGUUAUCCGGAUUUAUUGGGUUUAAAGGGUGCGUAGGCGGCACUUUAAGUCAGGGGUGAAAGACGGCAGCUCAACUGUCGCAGUGCCCUUGAUACUGAAGUGCUUGAAUGCGGUUGAAGACGGCGGAAUGAGACAAGUAGCGGUGAAAUGCAUAGAUAUGUCUCAGAACACCGAUUGCGAAGGCAGCUGUCUAAGCCGUUAUUGACGCUGAUGCACGAAAGCGUGGGGAUCGAACAGGAUUAGAUACCCUGGUAGUCCACGCCCUAAACG